RNAcentral lists this ribosomal RNA (253 nucleotides) under uncultured bacterium. RNAcentral describes it as "partial 16S ribosomal RNA". It matches the Rfam family "Bacterial small subunit ribosomal RNA", at positions 524 to 776 of the family's 1533-position model. The record is from RNAcentral.
UACAGAGGGUGCAAGCGUUAAUCGGAAUUACUGGGCGUAAAGCGCGCGUAGGUGGUUUGUUAAGUUGAAUGUGAAAUCCCCGGGCUCAACCUGGGAACUGCAUGCAAAACUGGCAAGCUAGAGUAUGGUAGAGGGUGGUGGAAUUUCCUGUGUAGCGGUGAAAUGCGUAGAUAUCUGGAGGAACACCGGUGGCGAAGGCGGCAUCCUGGACCGACACUGACGCUGAGGCGCGAAAGCUAGGGUAGCAAACGGG